This 253-nucleotide ribosomal RNA is filed under the name uncultured bacterium. RNAcentral describes it as "partial 16S ribosomal RNA". It matches the Rfam family "Bacterial small subunit ribosomal RNA", at positions 524 to 776 of the family's 1533-position model. The record is from RNAcentral.
UACGUAGGGCGCAAGCGUUGUCCGGAAUUAUUGGGCGUAAAGAGCUCGUAGGCGGCUUGUCACGUCGGGUGUGAAAGCCCGGGGCUUAACCCCGGGUCUGCAUUCGAUACGGGCAGGCUAGAGUGUGGUAGGGGAGAUCGGAAUUCCUGGUGUAGCGGUGAAAUGCGCAGAUAUCAGGAGGAACACCGGUGGCGAAGGCGGAUCUCUGGGCCAUUACUGACGUUGAGGAGCGAAAGCGUGGGGAGCGAACAGG